UACAGAGGGCUCGAGCGUUAAUCGGAAUCACUGGGCUUAAAGGGUCCGCAGGCGGAUUGGAAAGUAUCUUGUGAAAUACCAUGGCUCAACCAUGGAAUUGCUCGGUAAACUCCCAAUCUUGAACACGGUAGGGGCCAUCGGAACUCUAGGUGGAGCGGUGAAAUGCGUAGAUAUCUAGAGGAACGCCAAAGGCGAAGGCAGAUGGCUGGGCCGUUGUUGACGCUCAGGGACGAAAGCGUGGGUAGCAAACGGG
Molecule: ribosomal RNA, 253 nt
Filed under: uncultured bacterium
Lineage: Bacteria
Description: partial 16S ribosomal RNA
Rfam family: Bacterial small subunit ribosomal RNA
Source: RNAcentral